This 633-nucleotide ribosomal RNA is filed under the name Triticum aestivum (bread wheat). RNAcentral describes it as "partial small subunit ribosomal RNA". Lineage: Eukaryota; Viridiplantae; Streptophyta; Magnoliopsida; Poales; Poaceae. The record is from RNAcentral.
AUGUACGCUACGAAGAAAAUCAUGAAGGCGCUCUCGAUGGACUAUGAGAAAAUAGAUGUUUGUCCAAAGAAUUGCCUUUUGUUUAGGCAUGAGUAUGCGGAUGACAAGUACUGUAGGAAGUGUUGUUCCUCUCGGUAUAUUGAGGUGGUCGAUAAGCAUGGUCAGAAGCAGCAGCUAAAAAUCUAUGUGAAGGUUCUUUGGUAUCUUGAUUUUAUAAAAAGACUGCAGCGUCUUUUCAUCACCGAGGAGUCUGCCAAAAUGAUGAAGUGGCACAAGGAAAGGAAAAGGUACAAUCCAAAAAAAAUUGUACAUCCAUCAGGAGGUGAAGCAUGGAAGUCAUUCGAUAUAGAGUACCCGGAGAAAGCAGCCGAGGCUGGGAAUGAUAGAAUUGCUAUAACAGGUGAUGGAUUCAAUCCAUAUGGUAUGUCGUCUAAUCCAUACAGCUGUUGGCCCGUAUUUGUUAUUCUGCUGAAUCUCCCUCCCGACGCCAUAAUGCAACGCAAGACCAUGUUCCUGUCGCUUAUAAUUUCGGGGCCUGAAUAUCCGGGGAAGAAUUUGAGUGUGUUUAUGCAGCCGUUGGUGGAUGAUUUGCACCAUUCUUGGUACUUCCCGAGGUUGAGUAUGUUUAGAUGA